CCAGCAGCCGCGGUAAUUCCAGCUCCAAUAGCGUAUAUUAAAGUUGUUGCAGUUAAAAAGCUCGUAGUUGGAUUUCUGGUAGGAUGACUGUGCCCUCAGUAGAGCGUGCGCAGGCGUCUUGCCAUCCUUCUGUUAACCUUUGAGAGCUUCAUCGCUCUCUUUGGGGCUCAGAUAUUUUACCUUGAGAAAAUUAGAGUGUUUCAGGCAGGCUAGCGCCGGAAUACAUUAGCAUGGAAUAAUGGAAUAGGACUUAGUCUCUUUGUUGGUUCGGGGGACUGGAGUAAUGAUUAAUAGGGAUAGUUGGGGGCAUUAGUAUUUAUUAGCUAGAGGUGGAAUUCUCUAAUUUGAUAAAGACUAGCUUAUGCGAAAGCAUUUGCCAAGGAUGUUUUCAUUAAUCAAGAACGAAAGU
Molecule: ribosomal RNA, 409 nt
Filed under: uncultured eukaryote
Lineage: Eukaryota
Description: SSU rRNA
Rfam family: Eukaryotic small subunit ribosomal RNA
Source: RNAcentral